GCGAAAUUGCUGAUUCAAAUUGUAAUUCAUAAAUUUUGAUUCAUAUUUUGAGGAUAUGCACAGUCAUAAAGAAAUAACAAGUUAAAAGGAUGACUCAAAAAAACAAGUAACUGAUGGUGGAUUGUAACAACGCAUAUAUUGGAGGAUCAAGAACCUCUGUAUAUCUUAAAGACCCUAGGAAUUUUAACUUUAUGCAAAUGGACAGUUUGUGUCUACCUUUUAUUUAUAGCUGGAAUAUUCCAAUGUUUUAUAUUUAAAUGUAAAUCAUAUAUACUCAUCUUGAUAUCGUUUUAUGUGUAUCCUAUUCAAUACCAACUAUGUUGAUAUUUGUAUUGUUUAAGAAUUGUUUGAUAUCCAACCAUUAUAUCUUAUAAUCUGUUUGCUUAUUUUUUAUUUGACAAUCAAUGUCGAUUCAUAUUUUUGAAGUAGGAAAUUGUCAUGAUGAAUAUUUUUGUACAUAAUGAAUGACAUCUAGCUUUCUCUUGUGAUUUUCUUGUAUUGCAUUUUUUUAAAACUCGAUUCAAAGGGUCACUUGGUGUCCGUCAACUUUCAUCGUAAUUGUCGUUGUUC
RNAcentral lists this long non-coding RNA (570 nucleotides) under Mytilus galloprovincialis (Mediterranean mussel). Lineage: Eukaryota; Metazoa; Mollusca; Bivalvia; Mytilida; Mytilidae. The record is from RNAcentral.